This 421-nucleotide unclassified non-coding RNA is filed under the name soil metagenome. RNAcentral describes it as "partial contains 5.8S ribosomal RNA, internal transcribed spacer 2, and large subunit ribosomal RNA". The stretch from base 1 to 120 matches the Rfam family "5.8S ribosomal RNA", at positions 35 to 154 of the family's 154-position model. The record is from RNAcentral.
GAUGAAGAACGUAGCGAAAUGCGAUACGUAAUGUGAAUUGCAGAAUUCAGUGAAUCAUCGAAUCUUUGAACGCAUAUUGCGCUCUUUGGUAUUCCGAAGAGCAUGCUUGUUUGAGUAUCAGUAAACACCUCAACCUCUUCUUGAUUUUUCAAAAGGAGGGUGGACUUGAGCUAUCCCAACAACCUUUACCGGUCGGCGGGCGGCUUGAAAUGCAGGUGCAGCUGGACUUAUAUCUGAGCUAAAAGCAUAUCUAUUUAGUCCUCGUCAAACAGGAUUAUUACUUUUGCUGCAGCUAACAUAAAGGAUAAUUGUCCUCUUUGCUGACUGAUGCAGGAUUUUACGACACUUUAUGUGUUGUUCAACUCGAUCUCAAAUCAAGUAAGACUACCCGCUGAACUUAAGCAUAUCAAUAAGCGGAGGA